GGGCUUGGAGCUCAGAGGAUUAGAGUAGGUGGCUAAGAACCACGUUGUUAAAGGUUUGAAUCCUUCCUCGCCCG
Molecule: transfer RNA, 74 nt
Organism: Nicotiana attenuata
Lineage: Eukaryota; Viridiplantae; Streptophyta; Magnoliopsida; Solanales; Solanaceae
Rfam family: tRNA
About the family: Transfer RNA (tRNA) molecules are approximately 80 nucleotides in length. Their secondary structure includes four short double-helical elements and three loops (D, anti-codon, and T loops).
Source: Rfam